CCUACGGGAGGCUGCAGUGGGGAAUAUUGCACAAUGGGGGAAACCCUGAUGCAGCGACGCCGCGUGAAGGAAGAAGUCUUUCGGUAUGUAAACUUCUAUCAGCAGGGAAGAAAAUGACGGUACCUGACUCAGCAGCCCCGGCUAACUACGUGCCAGCAGCCGCGGUCAUACGGAGGGGGCAAGCGUUAUCCGGAUUUACUGGGUGUAACGGGAGCGUAGGCGGUGAUGCAAGUCAGAAGUGAAAGCCCGCAGCUCAACUGCGGGACUGCUUUUGAAACUGUAGGACUAGAUUGCAGGAGAGGUAAGUGGAAUUCCUGGUGUAGCGGUGAAAUGCGUAGAUAUUAGGAGGAACACCAGUGGCGAAGGCGGCUUACUGGACUGUAAAUGACGCUGAGGCUCGAAAGCGUGGGGAGCAAACAGGAUUAGAUACCCUUGUAGUC
This 440-nucleotide ribosomal RNA is filed under the name uncultured bacterium. Its description in RNAcentral is "partial 16S ribosomal RNA". It matches the Rfam family "Bacterial small subunit ribosomal RNA", at positions 338 to 795 of the family's 1533-position model. The record is from RNAcentral.